Cervus elaphus (red deer) is the source of this 480-nucleotide non-coding RNA. Lineage: Eukaryota; Metazoa; Chordata; Mammalia; Artiodactyla; Cervidae. The record is from the annotation of a RefSeq genome assembly.
GGCUUGAAGAGAUUUCCGGGAGCGGUGACUCUCAUCUGCUCGAAGAUGAGCCCACUGUGGACCUUCCUCUUCGUGCUGUCAGCUCCCAGCGGGGUCCUGUCCCAGGUGCAGCUGCAGGAGUCGGGACCCAGCCUGGUGAAGCCCUCACAGACCCUCUCCCUCACCUGUGCUGUCUCUGGAUUCUCAUUAACCAGCUAUGCUGUAGGCUGGGUCCGCCAGGCUCCAGGGAAGGCGCUGGAGUGGGUUGGUAUCAUAUAUAGUGGUGGAAGCACAUACUAUAACCCAGCCCUGAAAUCCCGGCUCAGCAUCACCAGGGACACCUCCAAGAGCCAAGUCUCUCUCUCACUGAGCAGCGUGACACCAGAGGACACGGCCGUGUAUUACUGUGCAAAGGACACAGGUGAGUGUGACCACAGCCUCUCUGGACUCACAGGACUAGAGCUCCUCAAUGCAAAUUCCUCUUCAAGCUCCAGGGGCUGA